RNA transcript from Pyrus x bretschneideri (Chinese white pear), 1358 nucleotides. RefSeq lists it as uncharacterized. Lineage: Eukaryota; Viridiplantae; Streptophyta; Magnoliopsida; Rosales; Rosaceae. The record is from RefSeq and is a predicted model, not a curated record. The transcript has 3 exons.
UUCUCAUCCUCACCUCUCACCUGCAAAAUUAUCGAAUUCCUUCACAAACCCAGUUUCUCUUCCCCUCAAAGUUUUAAUCUUUCGGUUCGAAUACUCGAAUUUUAAAGUCUUUUAGGAGUCUGAGGUUUGGGUUUUUCUCAGACGCAGAUUUUAACAGAAAAUAUGCUUCUACGGAGCUCAUCGACGCCGGUGCCCAACUCAUGGCUGCAGUAUUCCAAAGAUUCAACAUUUUUCGAUCAGCAACCGGAAAUGGUGCAGCAAAUCCAGAGAACUCGCUCCGUUACCCUCUCGGCGUCGUCGCGGUCGCCCCUUUUGCUGUCGCCGAUCAGCGACUCGGGUAGGAGGUUGACCCGGGCGGUCUCCGAGGACGAUCUCAGAGAUUUCAUGGUGGCGCGGCCGAAAAGAAAGUCCUUCAGCAUCCCGAUGGAUGGGUUUGAGGAGAGAGAGGAGCGAAACGAGAUAAAAAUGGAGAUGGGUUUUUCUGCCUCUGGGUUGGGCAGAACGGCCUCCUUGGGAUUGGCGGAGUUGGAGAGGUGUGAGGCCGGGUUGAGGGAGGACAGGAGGUUGCUGAGCGAUUUGGAAGGGGGCGGCGUUGGUGGAGGAGGCGGCAAGAUCUGCGGUGGUAAUGGCGGAGGGAGAGGUGAAUCGGACGACGGAGAUGAUGAGGGCAAUGGAUUUUGGGAAUCGAAUCAAGGCGGUGCGAGCACCGAUUUGUACUACCAGAAAAUUAUUGACGCUAAUCCUGGAAAUCCCAUGCUCCUUGGCAAUUAUGCUCGCUUUUUGAAAGAGGUUCAAGAGGAUUUCGGAAAAGCCGAAGAGUACUGCGGGAGAGCAAUUCUGGAGUGCCCGAAUGACGGAACUGUUCUGUCAAUGUUUGCGGAUUUGGUAUGGCAGAUUCACAAGGAUGCUCCAAGAGCUCAGUCUUACUUUGAUCAAGCUGUUCAAGCUGCCCCCGAUGAUAGUUAUGUUCUAGCAUCAUAUGCCAAUUUCUCUGGGACUCCGAGGAGGAAGACGAAGAGGAGGAGGAGGAGGAGGAGGAGGUGAAUCUGAAAGAAGGGGGGAAUAACAGAGCGUCGCCAACCAAUUUGUUUCCUGGAAUUCCUCCUUCACCACCUCCAUUAGCUGCUGCUGCAUAGUUAUAUAUAGAGAGAUAUAUGUAUCUAUAUGUUCAGAGGCUGACCUUUCUGUUUAUAUUUUUAAACUUUUGAAACCUUUUUUUAGUGAUCCUUUGGCUGCAGCUGGGGGUGAGAAAUUGGGUUGUGUUAACUGACGGCUCUGUUUUUGUUUUCAAGAUCUUUUUCUAGUCAUAUCUAAUGUAACAAAAAUAAGUGACGAAAUGGAGUUUUUUGAAGGCAUAA